RNAcentral lists this long non-coding RNA (348 nucleotides) under Monodelphis domestica (gray short-tailed opossum). RNAcentral's name for it is "lncRNA (ENSMODG00000041757.1)". Lineage: Eukaryota; Metazoa; Chordata; Mammalia; Didelphimorphia; Didelphidae. The record is from RNAcentral.
CUGGGAGCCACAAGUGAGAGCUGGGUGUCAGGUAGGGGUCAGAGGCUGGAGAGCUGCCCUAGGAGGGCACGACAAGCCCUCCAUACCAAGGUGCUACCCCUCCCUGAGCACCCAAAGAAAUUAAAGCACAGGGGAAGAAAAAGAAAAGGAAAGGAAAGAACAUCAACAAGCAGGAAAGGAACCAGAGGAGAGCAUCUAGGAGCUGAAAUAAUGAAAGGUUGGGAAAUCCAUAAGAGGCACCUUUCUUCUGAAGCCAGAGAAAAGUGUCGACAGAGAGCAGAUCGCUUAAGUGCAUGCAAUAGAAGGGAAAAGGGAAUCAGAGAUAGAAUUUCCAAAAUAUUUUUUUAA